GAUGAACGCUGGCGGCGUGCCUAAUACAUGCAAGUCGAGCGAACGGACGAGAAGCUUGCUUCUCUGAUGUUAGCGGCGGACGGGUGAGUAACACGUGGAUAACCUACCUAUAAGACUGGGAUAACUUCGGGAAACCGGAGCUAAUACCGGAUAAUAUUUUGAACCGCAUGGUUCAAAAGUGAAAGACGGUCUUGCUGUCACUUAUAGAUGGAUCCGCGCUGCAUUAGCUAGUUGGUAAGGUAACGGCUUACCAAGGCAACGAUGCAUAGCCGACCUGAGAGGGUGAUCGGCCACACUGGAACUGAGACACGGUCCAGACUCCUACGGGAGGCAGCAGUAGGGAAUCUUCCGCAAUGGGCGAAGGCCUGACGGAGCAACGCCGCGUGAGUGAUGAAGGUCUUCGGAUCGUAAAACUCUGUUAUUAGGGAAGAACAUAUGUGUAAGCAACUGUGCACAUCUUGACGGUACCUAAUCAGAAAGCCACGGCUAACUACGUG
RNAcentral lists this ribosomal RNA (497 nucleotides) under uncultured bacterium. Its description in RNAcentral is "partial 16S ribosomal RNA". It matches the Rfam family "Bacterial small subunit ribosomal RNA", at positions 28 to 507 of the family's 1533-position model. The record is from RNAcentral.